Long non-coding RNA from Mobula hypostoma (lesser devil ray), 2460 nucleotides. RefSeq lists it as uncharacterized. Lineage: Eukaryota; Metazoa; Chordata; Chondrichthyes; Myliobatiformes; Myliobatidae. The transcript has 3 exons. The record is from RefSeq and is a predicted model, not a curated record.
CUGACCUCCAUUUUGUUUUUGAGAUAAAAUUGCACAUUGGAAAACCUGAGUAUAAACGAUGAGAUUCAUACCCAUUUCAAAUGUAGUUUGUGCUCGGGCUAUUUAGUAUGGCAUUCCCUCGCAAGUUUAUCAAAUAUAAAAAUCUGACAAGUUUAUCAAAUACAAAAAUCUCAGGAGGUUAACUGAAGAAAGCUAGCGACAAGGUGGUGUGCAAAUUUAGCAGCUUACUGCAAUAUUAAAGUUGGACAUUCUUUCUUGGUUAUUAAUAAAAUGUUCAAUCAUAUAUACUAGUCUUUCACAAGCAGAUAGCUGCAGUUCACCUCACCCAGUAUCAGAUUUGUCAGAACUCACCUCUUCCAAUAACAAAAUUAGAAAAAAUAUAACAGUCACCCAGUAAAUUGUUGUAUUUAUUGAGUCCAAGACCUGGCAAGAAAUAACUUAAAAGCAGAUUUAGCAGUUCUUAGGGUUACACAAACUUAUAUCAACUGGAAAUUUUAAAGAAUUUUAAAAACCACAGGUAGAUUCUCCUGAAAACCCCUUACUCAAGUAGAAUUACUUUACAGAUUCCAUGCUAGUUUAUUAUCUGUGGACUUCGACACACAUGGAUUACAAGUAAAGCUGCCUAUGCUGAAGCUAAUAUUAACCUAGUUUUGAUUAUAAGACAGCACAUUCUGUGCUAAACACUGCAGGCACAGAACUGUAAUUGUGGUACAUUGAAGGAGAGUCACCAUGGAAAACCAAAUUACAUCAGCCCAUUCCAGUGUCAGCAAAACACCCUGAAGAAAAUGCUUUGAGAACUUCCUGUGAAUCUGUUACAACACAUCGACAAUUCUACGCAGUUCCCUUUUGAGAAAAAGCAACACUUUAUCAAGUGAAACACCCCACUGCCGUCCAGAAAGACGUUCUGGCAAAAAAAAAUUCUAAUGCUGAUUCUGAGACCGGCUCCUAGCAAACAAGUGCUCCUACAGACUCAGAUUAACUUAACAGCAGUCGCGUUAAAACCAGGCUUCCGUGUUAGGGCUUGACUGGAAACACAAAAUAAUUUAUAAACCUCAUUAAGUGACCAUUGCAUUACACGAUUAUAAGAGCAGAAGUUAGGCUCUACGCGUCAAAUUGUGUUCGAUAAUAUCCAUCGGGUUGUGUUUAAGCUAGAGAUAGUAAAUAAAAGCAAGUUAUUACAGAUAACGGGGGCUGCCCUUGGUUUAGAUAGAGACCCCACACUCUCACAGAAGUACCACCAAGCCCUACAUCGAGGUGAACGGGUUCCGGGGACGUUUGGUGGCGCUCGACCGCCGUCCCUGGAAACAGGAUCAGACCGGUCGGCCAACUACUGCCUCCGAUUAUUUUAGCAACAACGACGGGGGAAAAACCCCCAUUGGACCGCCAACCGCCAACCCCCGACCCCCCAACCACUUUAAUGAAAAUCCACCUCGGUCUGAAAAAAAGAGCUAUAAUCUUGCAUCACAUUUCAUUGGGAUACAAGAAACUACAGAUGUGGGAAUCCACAGUAACACAUAAUCUACUGGAAAAACUCAGCAGGUCGAAAAGGAAGAAAAGGAAUUGUCGAUGUUUUGGGUUGAAAGCUUGAGUCAGGACUAAUUUGCACGUAAAAAGGAGCAAGCAGAUAUAAAUUCAGUCCCUCUGACACUAGUCCAAUAAUAACUGAAGAAAGUGAUAUUUGCUUGCUUAUGUGCUACCUGUCUCCAUCCCCACACUCAGCUACCGUCGCCACCAAUAUGAGCUCUCACAUGCAAUGAGGUUUAAAUUCUUAUACCCUUACCUGCUGGUGACUCUGACACUGUCUAGAUCUCCUACAACACAGGUGAGAAAACUUUUGCCUGCAGCUGAUACUCAGCUGGUUCCUUUGAUGACUGACAUACAGUACUUUAUGUCAUCUUGAUGAUGCUUCAUCUCUUAUCCAGAUCAACCAUCAACGACACUGGCCCUCUACGUCAAUGAAGUGUCUUGAUAACCAGAUGCUUCCUGUGAUAUCUGACAGGAUCAGAAUCAGAAUCGGAAUCAGCUAUGAUACUCGCAUAUGUUGUGAAAAAUGUUGUUAUAUAAAAUUAAAUGAAAUAAGUGGUACAAAAAGAAAAAUAAAUUCCGAGUUUGAUUAUCCAUUCAGAAAUCUGACGGUGCUAGGAAGAAGCUGUUCCUAAAACAUUGAGUGUGUGUCUUCAAAAUGGCAAUUCCAACAUUGGCUCUUCUGUUUGCUUGUUCAGAACACACACACAAGCACCAAGCUCCGCCUUUCUCAAAUUAAAAUGUAUUCUAAUAUACGUACCCGCUACUAAGUCAGCAGAUGUUUGUCCCAUAGUUGUAUGUGGUAAUUGGCAAUGUAAUAGGAAACUCAUAACAUCUGACCCAAUUCCAACUCAAAGCAGCACAGUAAUGUAGUGGUUAGCAUAAUGCUUGACAGCACCAGCGAUUGGAAAAUCAGGGCUUAAUUCCUGCCACUGU